CCCCAUGUACAAAUAUAGAUCAGCCACGUUGAAAACAUUGCUUAUGCCCAUAUCAUCAGGUAACUCUAGAACAUAAGCAUUAGGUCCAAUACGUUUCAGCACCUUAUAUGGACCCAUCUUCUUUGGAUGGAGCUUACUGUUGACACCCGACUGAAAUCUGUUCAGGCUUUACU
Molecule: long non-coding RNA, 173 nt
Organism: Telopea speciosissima
Lineage: Eukaryota; Viridiplantae; Streptophyta; Magnoliopsida; Proteales; Proteaceae
Exons: 3
Source: RefSeq, a predicted model, not a curated record